Molecule: non-coding RNA, 691 nt
Organism: Xyrichtys novacula (pearly razorfish)
Lineage: Eukaryota; Metazoa; Chordata; Actinopteri; Labriformes; Labridae
Source: the annotation of a GenBank genome assembly
ACUAGACUGGACUGACAACACAAAUCCACUUUACAUGAAAGGCCACGGUAGACUCCACCUCCUGAGGAAACUGAGGUCCUUUGGGGUGCAGGGAGCUCUCCUGUGGUCCUUUUAUGACUCUGUGGUGGCCUCGUUCAUCUUCUAUGGACUGGUCUGCUGGAGCAUCACGGCUGCAGACAGGAACACACAGAACAAACUGGUGAGGAAGACUAGCUCUGUCUUGGGCCUCCCUCUGGCCCUGUUGAGGUGGUAGGGUAUAGGAGGAUUAUGGCUAAGCACUGCCUGCAGAACACUGUAACAGCACUGGACAGCUCUGUCAGAGACAGGCUUCUUCACCCGUGCUGUCCUCCCUUCCUGCUGCAGUGAGACGGUUUAACCAGGCCUGCUUCCAGUAGUCAAGGUUUUUUUUUCUUUUUUCUUUUUGCACAACUAAUGGACAAAAACUCAAUGCUACCCCAAUGUGCGAUAUUGGCAGGCUUGAUAUUUAUUACAACUGCAAACACCUUCAUUUUUCUCAGGUAUAAUUAGACAAAUAUAUGCAAAAACAUGUCGAGUUUUGUUUGUUGUUUGUUGUGUAGAACCAUUUUGUUUUUUGUUGGAUCUAACCUUUUUUUCUCUUCUUUUGUUUAUAAGAAGAGUAUGAUAAGAAGAAUAUGUCUAGGUCUAAGUUAACUUUUAGAAUUAUCUGAGC